Aedes albopictus (Asian tiger mosquito) is the source of this 2753-nucleotide long non-coding RNA. RefSeq lists it as uncharacterized. The record is from RefSeq and is a predicted model, not a curated record. The transcript has 2 exons. NCBI's taxonomy places the organism in Eukaryota, Metazoa, Arthropoda, Insecta, Diptera, Culicidae.
GCCAUACUGUGGACAUAAAUCUUAAUGCCAAUAAUUUUUUACGGUGAAAUAGACUAUUGUACCCCGAUAAAAUUAAUACGCCUUAUAAAUCAGUAUUUUUGAAGAAUUUUUCAUCAAAAUAAAUAAAUAGCAUUCAUCUUAUUUUAACACAAAAACUCAAAAAUUUAGAAAUAAAAUUAAAUGGCACUCUGUGACAUGACAUGAUACAUGUUUUGAGAUAAGAUUCAUAAUUGGCUUGAUAUUAUUUUUGUGGAUAAUUUUGUUGUGGUUGUUGUUGGUUCUCAUGUUUGGUUUGGUAUUUGAACGGUUUGACAUCUGUCACGAUUUGGAAAGACACCAAAUAUCAAGUAUCAAAUAAGGACUGUUCAUUUUAUAAAACGGACAACUUGUUAGUACAAUAUCUUUUUUAUUUUUCAAUAAAAUCAUUAUCAGUUUUUUGCAUAACUUCCUAUAGCUAUUCUCAAACGUAGGAAAAAUAUAACAUUGAGCAAAAUAAUCUUUAUUGUGUAACUAAAGCGGUUUUCGUAAAACAUCAAUAAAAACUCAUUUCUCAAAAUACGACAUAACUUUCCACAUACUUAACAUGCCCAUUUUCAUGAAGUUUUCAAUGUAUUGGAAUUUUAUACUACUCUACUAAAGGUAAAGCUCAAAAGUUGGUCAGUAAUAAUGCACCAAGCAGCCUCCAGAUUGAUAUAGUAAGUUGCCUUGUUUUCAUGGAAAUUAUUAUUAUUUUUUUUAUUUAAGUCCUGUGUUGCAAUAGCACAACGGAUUUGGCUAAAAAUUUGUCCAGACUAGUAAAAUAUUGCUCCCUGAAUGGUACAAAAGAAAAAUUUACUUUUAAUUGCAUUCUUCAUCAUAAAUUUAAUCCAUAAAGUUGGUCAUAGUAAAAAAUUGCAUACUUUUUGCUCCAUUGAUGCUGAUUUUUCGACUCUAGCUAAUCUGGUUAUUAUUUAUUUUCGACAAAGUUAGUCCUAUGUUAUUGUACACCUUGUUUAAUAAGGAUCGGAUGUAAAGUUUUAAUUUCCAACAUCAUUGUUUUGCAAAAUUUGCAUUAGGUUGCAUUGUUAUUAAGAAGAACUUUCAAAGAACGUAACUGUUUUGGUUACUGUGCCUGUAAUGGCGCACAGUAAGCAAACCAACAAUGUUAUUAAGAAGCAGUUUUCUGCAUUUGAAACCUCAUUAUUCCUACUUUCGUCUGGAUGCAUGAAAAAAAAUGUUUAUUUGAUAUUUUCAUGCCCUUUUUGCUUUACAAUUGAAUUUUAUUCAAAAAUUCGAAUCUCACAUGAGGCUUUAAUAUCUCAACAACUAAUUUUCCAAUUGAGUUCAAAUUUCGUAAGAAUGUUUAUUACUCAUGCUGUUGCAGCAUGGCACACACUUUUCUGAUAAUUAAAACGAUAUACAAUAUGUGAACAUUGAUUUUAUAUAUAUUUUAAAUUUUCAGCAAUUGAUAAAUUCACCUCAUUUAACACUUGGCCGAUUUUCUAAAAAAAUAAAACUAUUUUUAUUCGAUUAAAAAAUGAUUACUAUAAUGAAAGCUGAUGUACUGAACAACGAAACAAGGGUGGUUAAAUUUGAACUACGCGUCUUGGUUUUAUAGCCUUGUAAAGUUGUCCGUUUUAUAAAUUGAACAGUCCUUAAUUAUCACAGUUUAUACAUUGAAGCGGCUCAAAGAGCAUUAUGCUCGAUAAAAUCGGCCCUUAUCGAUAAUCACAUAUGUUGUGGUAACAUAUAUUCCUGUCAUUUUUUUUGUAUAGGUAUUCAAAGCUUAGAUUCUGUUAGGAAAUAAAAAACGAUUCUUCAUUUCUAUGAUCGGUAGUGUAGCAUGUCCCUGUUCAAAAAUUAGGUUUACGUUAAACAUGUUUUCUAUCAUACUGCAGAAAACCAAAAUUCGACUAAUUAUAAACAUACGAAACACACUAUGUUUUGUCAAAACAUGAUUGAAAACAAGUCUUAAACAUGAAACUGCAAAUGUCACUCUAAUAUGUCAUAUAGAACAUACUGAGCAUGUAUGGUAACAAACAAAGUGUACUUAAAUAGAACUUACCCAACAUAAUCGACAACAACAUGCAAUGUUUGUUUGAGAAAACAAAAUAUAUUCUUUAAUAAGACUUCUAAAUAGAAGAUCACUGUGUAUAAGUUUUAGGUAUCGUGAAAACGACUUAUCCAUGACAUAAUAUGUUUCGAGAAACUUCAUAACAACUGCUGUAGGACAAAGUAAAUAUUUGCUAUUUCGGAUUAUGUUUUCGGUGUUACUUGGGGCGUGUCUUAAUGGUCUUAAUGAAUUUUAUACAACUUCAUAGACAAGAUAAUUGGAAAUGGCUUUUCAAGAACUUUUCAACAGACUGUAUUUUUUUGUUGAGUGCAUCAAAAUUUCCCAAAAUCUCACUGAUAGCACUGAAGCAGACUGCACCUCUUUUCUGCGAGCCGGAUCGAUUUCUGAAAAAAUCAGCCCAUCCAGCCCACGGCCAGAACAAAGUGGGUGAAUUGUCGGAGCAUAAACCGUUGACAAAGGUGCCUAUGCUGCAGGCCCUUAACGAUAAAACGGAACAUUGUUAGUAAGUACACAUCAACACUACACAGACACAGCAUAAUACAUAACACAUAAUUUGUUUGUUGUCCAUCAGAUCCCAAGAAGAAGGCACAAUAAAUGUGUCCGAAACGUCGGAUGAAAGCAUAAGAAUCCGUUUUUAAUUAAAAGAGACUGGAAGCCAUUACCCCGAAUCAACUAUCACAGUCGUAUCUCUAAGAAAGUU